Molecule: ribosomal RNA, 85 nt
Filed under: Staphylococcus epidermidis
Lineage: Bacteria; Bacillati; Bacillota; Bacilli; Caryophanales; Staphylococcaceae
Source: RNAcentral
UCUGGUGACAAUGGCAAGGAGGUCACACCUGUUCCCAUGCCGAACACAGAAGUUAAGCUCCUUAGCGCCGAUGGUAGUCGGACUG